UGGGGGAUAGAGGUGACUACAGAGUGGUAGAGGUGACUACAGAGUGGUAGAGGUGACUACACAGUGGUAGAGGUGACUACAGAGUGGUAGAGGUGACUACAGAGUGGUAGAGAUGGGGGAUAGAGGUGACUACACAGUGGUAGAGGUGACUACACAGUGGUAGAGGUGACUACAGAGUGGUAGAGGUGACUACAGAGUGGCAGAGAUGACUACACAGUGGUAGA
Molecule: non-coding RNA, 224 nt
Organism: Oncorhynchus mykiss (rainbow trout)
Lineage: Eukaryota; Metazoa; Chordata; Actinopteri; Salmoniformes; Salmonidae
Source: RefSeq, a predicted model, not a curated record